GGUGGCUCAGUGGUAGAGUGUUUGCCUUGCAUGCAUCAGGCUCUGGGUUCAAUUCCUCAGCACCA
Molecule: non-coding RNA, 65 nt
Organism: Dipodomys ordii (Ord's kangaroo rat)
Lineage: Eukaryota; Metazoa; Chordata; Mammalia; Rodentia; Heteromyidae
Source: Rfam